RNAcentral lists this ribosomal RNA (442 nucleotides) under uncultured bacterium. RNAcentral describes it as "partial 16S ribosomal RNA". It matches the Rfam family "Bacterial small subunit ribosomal RNA", at positions 338 to 795 of the family's 1533-position model. The record is from RNAcentral.
CCUACGGGAGGCUGCAGUGGGGAAUAUUGGGCAAUGGGCGCAAGCCUGACCCAGCAACGCCGCGUGAAGGAAGAAGGCUUUCGGGUUGUAAACUUCUUUUAAGAGGGAAGAGCAGAAGACGGUACCUCUUGAAUAAGCCACGGCUAACUACGUGCCAGCAGCCGCGGUAAUACGUAGGGGGCAAGCGUUUGCCGGAUUUACUGGGUGUAAAGGGCGUGCAGCCGGGAAGACAAGUCAGAUGUGAAAGCCCGCGGCUCAACCGCGGAACUGCAGUUGAAACUGUUGUGCUGGAGUACCAGAGAGGUCAGCGGAAGGCGUUGUGUAGCGGUGAAAUGCGUAGAUAUAAGGAAGAACACCAGUGGCGAAGGCGGAGGACUGGCCGGCAACUGACGGUGAGGCGCGAAAGCGUGGGGAGCGAACAGGAUUAGAUACCCGUGUAGUC